Molecule: long non-coding RNA, 458 nt
Organism: Xiphophorus hellerii (green swordtail)
Lineage: Eukaryota; Metazoa; Chordata; Actinopteri; Cyprinodontiformes; Poeciliidae
Exons: 3
Source: RefSeq, a predicted model, not a curated record
UUGUGAAGUAGAGGGGUCUUAAUAUUUCCAAGGAACUUCCAAUACACAUCCAGUGUAAGACGGAGCCAAAUGAACUACGUAAAUGGAGGAAAGCAACGCCAUUGGUCGGGGCUUUCCAAUACACACCAGCAGAGCUCGGAUCCUAUAAAAAACUAAUACCAGAAGUAGAAGUCAAGAGAUUUUGGGACUACUGUAACGAUGUGUAUGUGAUGUUUAGUUCCACAGAUGUGCAUUAAAAUCUCUUCUCGUUUUGACUAUGAGCAGAAGGAGUUCCGAGUCUUAUUUAACCUUUAUUUAUAUACUCUAUGAGUUUAGGCACCUUUAAAUUCCUCAAUAUAAAUGGUGAUACCCGACGUGCCAAUGAGCCGAUUCAGACUUAAAGGGGACGAAAAGGUGUCUCUCUCCAGACUGGCUGCAAGGCAGGGAUCCGGGCCAGACACAGAAAAAGAGGUACGAUU